UACGUAGGUGGCAAGCGUUGUCCGGAUUUACUGGGCGUAAAGGAUGCGUAGGCGGACAUUUAAGUCAGAUGUGAAAUACCCGAGCUUAACUUGGGUGCUGCAUUUGAAACUGGGUGUCUAGAGUGCAGGAGAGGUAAGUGGAAUUCCUAGUGUAGCGGUGAAAUGCGUAGAGAUUAGGAAGAACACCAGUGGCGAAGGCGACUUACUGGACUGUAACUGACGCUGAGGCAUGAAAAGCGUGGGGGAGCAAAACAGG
This 256-nucleotide ribosomal RNA is filed under the name uncultured bacterium. Its description in RNAcentral is "partial 16S ribosomal RNA". It matches the Rfam family "Bacterial small subunit ribosomal RNA", at positions 524 to 776 of the family's 1533-position model. The record is from RNAcentral.